UACGUAGGGGGCAAGCGUUGUCCGGAAUCAUUGGGCGUAAAGAGCGCGUAGGCGGUCCGGUAAGUCCGCUCUGAAAGUCCGGGGCUCAACCCCGGGAGGCGGGCGGAUACUGUCGGGCUAGAGUCCGGAAGAGGCGAGUGGAAUUCCUGGUGUAGCGGUGAAAUGCGUAGAUAUCGGAAGGAACACCAGUGGCGAAAGCGGCUUCCUGGUCCAGCACCGACGUUCAGGCACGAAAGCGUGGGGAGCAAACAGG
Molecule: ribosomal RNA, 253 nt
Filed under: uncultured bacterium
Lineage: Bacteria
Description: partial 16S ribosomal RNA
Rfam family: Bacterial small subunit ribosomal RNA
Source: RNAcentral